RNAcentral lists this ribosomal RNA (206 nucleotides) under uncultured bacterium. RNAcentral describes it as "partial 16S ribosomal RNA". It matches the Rfam family "Bacterial small subunit ribosomal RNA", at positions 127 to 334 of the family's 1533-position model. The record is from RNAcentral.
CACCUCUUAACAGGGGGAUAACACUGAGAAAUUGGUACUAAUACCCCAUAAUAUCAUAGAAGGCAUCUUUUAUGGUUGAAAAUUCCGAUGGUUAGAGAUGGGCAUGCGUUGUAUUAGCUAGUUGGUGGGGUAACGGCUCACCAAGGCGACGAUACAUAGGGGGACUGAGAGGUUAACCCCCACACUGGUACUGAGACACGGACCAG